Molecule: unclassified non-coding RNA, 334 nt
Organism: Chlorocebus sabaeus (green monkey)
Lineage: Eukaryota; Metazoa; Chordata; Mammalia; Primates; Cercopithecidae
Gene: 7SK
Rfam family: 7SK RNA
About the family: 7SK was discovered as an abundant small nuclear RNA in the mid-70s but a possible function has only recently been suggested. Two independent studies have found that 7SK RNA binds the CDK9/cyclin T complex (known as elongation factor P-TEFb). P-TEFb activates transcription by phosphorylating the C-terminal domain of RNA polymerase II.
Source: Ensembl
GGAUCUGAGGGCGAUCUGGCUGCCACAUCUGUCACCCCAUUGAUCGCCAGGGUUGAUUCGGCUGAUCUGGCUGGCUAGGCGGGUGUCCGCAUCCUCCCUCACCGCUCCACGUGCGUCGCUCCCGAAGCUGCGCGCUUGGUCGAAGAGGACGACCAUCCCCGCUAGAGGCGGACCGGUCUUCGGUCAAGGGUAUACGAGUAGCUGCCCUCCCCUGCUAGAACCUCCAAACAAGCUCUCAAACAUGCCCUCUCACCAACUUCUUGCUAGCACUGAAUAUUAUUAUUUUAAACAUUGUUGUUUUUGUAAUUCAGCCGAUAGGUGGUAGCUUGCAGUU